RNAcentral lists this ribosomal RNA (456 nucleotides) under uncultured Thauera sp. RNAcentral's name for it is "bacterial SSU rRNA". It matches the Rfam family "Bacterial small subunit ribosomal RNA", at positions 923 to 1382 of the family's 1533-position model. The record is from RNAcentral. Lineage: Bacteria; Pseudomonadati; Pseudomonadota; Betaproteobacteria; Rhodocyclales; Zoogloeaceae.
GCACAAGCGGUGGAUGAUGUGGUUAAUUCGAUGCAACGCGAAAACCUUACCUACCCUUGACAUGUCUGGAGCCUUGGUGAGAGCCGAGGGUGCCUUCGGGAGCCAGAACACAGGUGCUGCAUGGCUGUCGUCAGCUCGUGUCGUGAGAUGUUGGGUUAAGUCCCGCAACGAGCGCAACCCUUGUCACUAGUUGCCAUCAUUUGGUUGGGCACUCUAGUGAGACUGCCGGUGACAAACCGGAGGAAGGUGGGGAUGACGUCAAGUCCUCAUGGCCCUUAUGGGUAGGGCUUCACACGUCAUACAAUGGUCGGUACAGAGGGUUGCCAAGCCGCGAGGUGGAGCGAAUCCCAGAAAACCUGUCUCAGCCCGGAUUGAAGUCUGCAACUCGACUUCAUGAAGGCGGAAUCGCUAGUAACCGCGAAUCAGCAGGUCGCGGUGAAUACGUUCCCGGGCCUU